UGGUCAUUUUCCACUUAUUCCCGCUUCCGCGGGUGAAGGGUGAAUUCUGGUUGGACAAAACGAGGGAGGAGAGAACUGCCGAUGGAGUGAGAGUUUGUUUUGUUUUUGCUCCAGCGAGUUAAUUCGGAUAUAGACAAUAUACCCACUAGCAAAGUGCGUUAAACGGUCUGUAUUUCGUUAAAGAAGUGUUAAUACUUGUAUUAAGUGGAUUAGUGUUUAUACUCGGUAAGAGAGUAAACGGUUAUGUUUUGUUUCGGAGUCUGAGGUAGAGCGCAGCCUGUCGCUAAGCUAACUAUCGGGACUAAGCUAAAAAAAAAAAGGAUUCUAUCUGACGGGUUUUCCAACCGGCUAACCGCCUAAGUGUUUAGUUAUUUAAAUUUCGGGACGGAGACAAGUUCAUGGAGCCGUUGUGACUGUAUAUCGGACGCGGAUUGGAUGUUGCUAUGCUAUGGUGAUACAGUAUCGUGUGGCUGCUGUUCAGGAGAGGAGGCCAUGAGACUACCUGAAUAUCUACGGCUGCAUCUAAGGGAAGUUCGCGUUUUAAGCACCUUGGAAGGCAAUCAGGUGAUCUAUUUAUUUUCUUUUAGCUCGUCAGAGCGAAGAGGCCAUUUGUAGUUUUAAAGGCCACCACGUUCCCCAGCAACGUUACAGGCCUGCAACAGGUGGGCCUGGAUGAGGCAGUUCGUAGUUGGGAAAAGCACAGAAGCAUUAACUCCUGGCUCUAAGGGAUCUAAGUUCAUAUGACGGCCAAUGCGUAAGCUCAGGUGUCCUCAGUGAAAUUGUCCUACAGCUGCUUGUUCCCGGAGGUCAGGAAAGUGUUCUGUUCUGCUGAUGGAGACAACCUGCACUUCAGCUGGACUUGUGAAUCAAACACUCGGUUGGAGGACGACAACAAAACCCUCGUACUGGAUAAAAUGCAUAUUAAAAAAGUCCCCUGUAAUGUCGAAUAUCACGUCAGUCAUGCCUAAAAUUCAACUGAAUUGCCAAAACGUACCAGUGAGUCUGUCUUUUUUUAAUAACAUUAGAAAAUAUUUCUUUUGUUUCUAUACUUCUGUAAAGCUGCUUUGAGACAAUGUCCAUCGUUGAAGUGCUUAUACACCUACAGUAAAUUGAAUUGAAAAUAAUGAAUUAAGCAACAGUUACAGUAAUUAACAGUCAUCAGCAUUAAUGUCACUACUCAUACCCUGGUAAAUACAAAGGCAAAACUGUGUGCUCAAAAGCUUUCAUGUUUUAACCUUUAAAAGGUUUUAUUCCUGAGAAAUAUUAUAUCCUGGGUUAGCUGAUGACAUCGCUAACACUGCUAUCCAGUGGCUUUUACCUAGUGACAACAUCCCCUUUAUAUUUUAAGCCCACUGUAAUGCUGUGAUUCUACAGUGGCAACAAUUUAAUAAAAUAUUAAAUAAGUCCUAUGUACUGAAUGUGUGAAUGCUGAAAUAAAAUCUGUUUGUUAUUAUUAAUGAUUUUAGUAUUUGUU
Tachysurus fulvidraco (yellow catfish) is the source of this 1474-nucleotide long non-coding RNA. RefSeq lists it as uncharacterized. The transcript is spliced from 3 exons. NCBI's taxonomy places the organism in Eukaryota, Metazoa, Chordata, Actinopteri, Siluriformes, Bagridae. The record is from RefSeq and is a predicted model, not a curated record.